RNAcentral lists this ribosomal RNA (721 nucleotides) under uncultured bacterium. Its description in RNAcentral is "SSU rRNA". It matches the Rfam family "Bacterial small subunit ribosomal RNA", at positions 505 to 1233 of the family's 1533-position model. The record is from RNAcentral.
GUGCCAGCAGCCGCGGUAAUACGGAGGGUCCGAGCGUUAUCCGGAAUCAUUGGGUUUAAAGGGUCCGCAGGCGGUCAAUUAAGUCAGAGGUGAAAUCCCAUAGCUUAACUAUGGAACUGCCUUUGAUACUGGUUGACUUGAGUUAUAUGGAAGUAGAUAGAAUGUGUAGUGUAGCGGUGAAAUGCAUAGAUAUUACACAGAAUACCGAUUGCGAAGGCAGUCUACUACGUAUAUACUGACGCUCAUGGACGAAAGCGUGGGGAGCGAACAGGAUUAGAUACCCUGGUAGUCCACGCCGUAAACGAUGGACACUAGUUGUUGGGAUUUAUCUCAGUGACUAAGCGAAAGUGAUAAGUGUCCCACCUGGGGAGUACGAUCGCAAGAUUGAAACUCAAAGGAAUUGACGGGGGCCCGCACAAGCGGUGGAGCAUGUGGUUUAAUUCGAUGAUACGCGAGGAACCUUACCAGGGCUUAAAUGUAGUCUGACAGCUUUAGAGAUAGAGUUUUCUUCGGACAGAUUACAAGGUGCUGCAUGGUUGUCGUCAGCUCGUGCCGUGAGGUGUCAGGUUAAGUCCUAUAACGAGCGCAACCCUUGUCGUUAGUUGCCAGCAUGUAAAGAUGGGGACUCUAACGAGACUGCCGGUGCAAACCGAGAGGAAGGUGGGGAUGACGUCAAAUCAUCACGGCCCUUACGUCCUGGGCCACACACGUGCUACAAUGG